UACGAAGGGGGCUAGCGUUGCUCGGAAUCACUGGGCGUAAAGCGCACGUAGGCGGAUUGUUAAGUCAGGGGUGAAAUCCUGGAGCUCAACUCCAGAACUGCCUUUGAUACUGGCGAUCUCGAGUCCGGGAGAGGUGAGUGGAACUGCGAGUGUAGAGGUGAAAUUCGUAGAUAUUCGCAAGAACACCAGUGGCGAAGGCGGCUCACUGGCCCGGUACUGACGCUGAGGUGCGAAAGCAUGGGUAGCAAACAGG
This 253-nucleotide ribosomal RNA is filed under the name uncultured bacterium. Its description in RNAcentral is "partial 16S ribosomal RNA". It matches the Rfam family "Bacterial small subunit ribosomal RNA", at positions 524 to 776 of the family's 1533-position model. The record is from RNAcentral.